Molecule: long non-coding RNA, 449 nt
Filed under: Durio zibethinus
Lineage: Eukaryota; Viridiplantae; Streptophyta; Magnoliopsida; Malvales; Malvaceae
Description: long non-coding RNA (DZIB_LNC000683)
Source: RNAcentral
UGGGGACUCAAACCAUAUGGGUUAUGAUUCAAUUAAAUUGAUAAAAAAAAAAAACUUAUAAACCCCAUUUUUUUAUAAAACAAAUUGUUUAAUAACAAAAGUCAAGCAAACAAUUGUUGAUGACUUGGUCCUUUUUGUGCUUGUUAUUCCCGAUUCUUCGUUUAUUCUUUUGUUUUUGGGCCUAGCCAUAACACAAAAAGAAAAGGUAUUUUGAAAUACCUCAUUUGUUUCAGUUUAGGGUUUAAUGUUUUUUGGCUGUUUCUUUUGAUAGCCCUUGAACCUAGGAACUCGGAGAGAUAGAUUACAUGCGCAUCUAGCCACCAAGACAAAGGGAGGGCUGUGAUACAGCUAUCUCAAGUAAUAAAUUUAUUGAUAAAAUUUAAAAGAGACUCAUCCGUCCACAUAAAUGGGUUUUGAAUCUUAGGAAAGCCCAUUGAGUUUUCAUGUUC